RNAcentral lists this ribosomal RNA (253 nucleotides) under uncultured bacterium. Its description in RNAcentral is "partial 16S ribosomal RNA". It matches the Rfam family "Bacterial small subunit ribosomal RNA", at positions 524 to 776 of the family's 1533-position model. The record is from RNAcentral.
CACGUAGGGCGCAAGUGUUGUCCGGAAUUAUUGGGCGUAAAGAGCUCGUAGGCGGUCUGUUACGUCUGCUGCGAAAACCCGGGGCUUAACCCUGGGCUUGCAGUGGAUACGGGCAGACUAGAGGCAGGUAGGGGAGAAUGGAAUUCCCGGUGUAGCGGUGAAAUGCGCAGAUAUCGGGAGGAACACCGGUGGCGAAGGCGGUUCUCUGGGCCUGACCUGACGCUGAGGAGCGAAAGCGUGGGGAGCGAACAGG